UCUCUCAUGUGAAGGGCUGUUAGCUGAGCCGCGCCAUGAUGAGCAUAAUAAAGCCCAGAGCAGCUCUUCAGCGGGGGAGACGGAUCAUGGACGGAAGAUGAGAAGAAAGACAGCGGCCAAACGCCUCCUGAACAACGAGCAUGAGGGAGAACCGGAGCAGGCGCAGUGUGAGGCUAUUGAGCAUAGACCGUCGAAGAUGAGGAAACAGCUGCACCCUCUGGAAGACCUGAGACAGAAGCUAACACCAUGUGAUGGUGGUCCUCUGAAGCUCAUCUCGAGGACUUUUGAAGUUGAGAGCACAGCAGGACUGGCCAUUGCAGAUGGAGAUAUCACCAUGGAGGUGUUGGGAAAUCUCCAAACUUGCUCAAGGUCAGAACUUAUCGCCAUGGUGUUGAGCAUGCAGAGGGAGACGGACAGCCUUAGGGAGCAAAUCAAGACUCUUACAGCUUGUGGAAGGUUGGCACAGAAUCUUGAGGAGUUGGUCUCAAAGACCGAAGGGUGGUUGAACUGUUGCAGUAUAGAAAGGACUCCCAGUAUCCCGAAGGCUCAUGAAGGGAACUCUGCACCCAGUCCGGUCUCUGCUCCGGUUGUCCGAAACAACCACAGGAUAGAGCAGCAGGUCUCCACCCAGCAGGAUGGUCACGAAACGGACGAGAAAACACCAAGGAGUGAAACACCCCAUUUCCAAGAGAUUAUCCCAGCGGAGUUGCUUGAGCGCUGCAACACAGGCACCACGGCCCAGAAGCUGACCAAUGAGCUGCUGCGUGGCCUGUAUGACCGAGACUGCCUCGCUUCACACUCUAUCUCCGGUGUCGUUAACAGCAAGAGAGGACAACCCAAGCCUGCACUGCCUGCCCACGAGAUUCAGGCCAUCCUGAGUAUGUUCACUGAAGAAAUCCUGCUAUAGAUUAAGUGAUGAAUUAAAAAUAUAUACAGAUAUAUUCGGACAGAAAAAAAUUCUAUACUGUUUAAACAUAAUCAGAUUUUU
RNAcentral lists this long non-coding RNA (988 nucleotides) under Astyanax mexicanus (Mexican tetra). Its description in RNAcentral is "lncRNA (ENSAMXG00005005211.1)". The record is from RNAcentral. Lineage: Eukaryota; Metazoa; Chordata; Actinopteri; Characiformes; Acestrorhamphidae.